Molecule: ribosomal RNA, 206 nt
Filed under: uncultured bacterium
Lineage: Bacteria
Description: partial 16S ribosomal RNA
Rfam family: Bacterial small subunit ribosomal RNA
Source: RNAcentral
GGUGUAGGUGGCUCUAUAAGUCAGGAGUGAAAGCCCCAAGCUUAACUUGGGAAGUGCUUUUGAUACUGUAGAGCUUGAAUGUGGGAGAGGAUCGUGGAAUUCCAGGUGUAGUGGUGAAAUACGUAGAUAUCUGGAGGAACACCGGUGGCGAAGGCGGCGAUCUGGCCCAACAUUGACACUGAGACCGAAAGCGUGGGGAUCAAACA